AGCGUACACGGUGGAUGCCCUGGCAGUCAGAGGCGAUGAAGGACGUGCUAAUCUGCGAUAAGCGUCGGUAAGGUGAUAUGAACCGUUAUAACCGGCGAUUUCCGAAUGGGGAAACCCAGUGUGUUUCGACACACUAUCAUUAACUGAAUCCAUAGGUUAAUGAGGCGAACCGGGGGAACUGAAACAUCUAAGUACCCCGAGGAAAAGAAAUCAACCGAGAUUCCCCCAGUAGCGGCGAGCGAACGGGGAGCAGCCCAGAGCCUGAAUCAGUGUGUGUGUUAGUGGAAGCGUCUGGAAAGGCGCGCGAUACAGGGUGACAGCCCCGUACACAAAAAUGCACAUGCUGUGAGCUCGAUGAGUAGGGCGGGACACGUGGUAUCCUGUCUGAAUAUGGGGGGACCAUCCUCCAAGGCUAAAUACUCCUGACUGACCGAUAGUGAACCAGUACCGUGAGGGAAAGGCGAAAAGAACCCCGGCGAGGGGAGUGAAAAAGAACCUGAAACCGUGUACGUACAAGCAGUGGGAGCACGCUUCGGCGUGUGACUGCGUACCUUUUGUAUAAUGGGUCAGCGACUUAUAUUCUGUAGCAAGGUUAACCGAAUAGGGGAGCCGAAGGGAAACCGAGUCUUAACUGGGCGUUAAGUUGCAGGGUAUAGACCCGAAACCCGGUGAUCUAGCCAUGGGCAGGUUGAAGGUUGGGUAACACUAACUGGAGGACCGAACCGACUAAUGUUGAAAAAUUAGCGGAUGACUUGUGGCUGGGGGUGAAAGGCCAAUCAAACCGGGAGAUAGCUGGUUCUCCCCGAAAGCUAUUUAGGUAGCGCCUCGUGAAUUCAUCUCCGGGGGUAGAGCACUGUUUCGGCAAGGGGGUCAUCCCGACUUACCAACCCGAUGCAAACUGCGAAUACCGGAGAAUGUUAUCACGGGAGACACACGGCGGGUGCUAACGUCCGUCGUGAAGAGGGAAACAACCCAGACCGCCAGCUAAGGUCCCAAAGUCAUGGUUAAGUGGGAAACGAUGUGGGAAGGCCCAGACAGCCAGGAUGUUGGCUUAGAAGCAGCCAUCAUUUAAAGAAAGCGUAAUAGCUCACUGGUCGAGUCGGCCUGCGCGGAAGAUGUAACGGGGCUAAACCAUGCACCGAAGCUGCGGCAGCGACACUAUGUGUUGUUGGGUAGGGGAGCGUUCUGUAAGCCUGUGAAGGUGUGCUGUGAGGCAUGCUGGAGGUAUCAGAAGUGCGAAUGCUGACAUAAGUAACGAUAAAGCGGGUGAAAAGCCCGCUCGCCGGAAGACCAAGGGUUCCUGUCCAACGUUAAUCGGGGCAGGGUGAGUCGACCCCUAAGGCGAGGCCGAAAGGCGUAGUCGAUGGGAAACAGGUUAAUAUUCCUGUACUUGGUGUUACUGCGAAGGGGGGACGGAGAAGGCUAUGUUGGCCGGGCGACGGUUGUCCCGGUUUAAGCGUGUAGGCUGGUUUUCCAGGCAAAUCCGGAAAAUCAAGGCUGAGGCGUGAUGACGAGGCACUACGGUGCUGAAGCAACAAAUGCCCUGCUUCCAGGAAAAGCCUCUAAGCAUCAGGUAACAUCAAAUCGUACCCCAAACCGACACAGGUGGUCAGGUAGAGAAUACCAAGGCGCUUGAGAGAACUCGGGUGAAGGAACUAGGCAAAAUGGUGCCGUAACUUCGGGAGAAGGCACGCUGAUAUGUAGGUGAGGUCCCUCGCGGAUGGAGCUGAAAUCAGUCGAAGAUACCAGCUGGCUGCAACUGUUUAUUAAAAACACAGCACUGUGCAAACACGAAAGUGGACGUAUACGGUGUGACGCCUGCCCGGUGCCGGAAGGUUAAUUGAUGGGGUCAGCGCAAGCGAAGCUCUUGAUCGAAGCCCCGGUAAACGGCGGCCGUAACUAUAACGGUCCUAAGGUAGCGAAAUUCCUUGUCGGGUAAGUUCCGACCUGCACGAAUGGCGUAAUGAUGGCCAGGCUGUCUCCACCCGAGACUCAGUGAAAUUGAACUCGCUGUGAAGAUGCAGUGUACCCGCGGCAAGACGGAAAGACCCCGUGAACCUUUACUAUAGCUUGACACUGAACAUUGAGCCUUGAUGUGUAGGAUAGGUGGGAGGCUUUGAAGUGUGGACGCCAGUCUGCAUGGAGCCGACCUUGAAAUACCACCCUUUAAUGUUUGAUGUUCUAACGUUGACCCGUAAUCCGGGUUGCGGACAGUGUCUGGUGGGUAGUUUGACUGGGGCGGUCUCCUCCUAAAGAGUAACGGAGGAGCACGAAGGUUGGCUAAUCCUGGUCGGACAUCAGGAGGUUAGUGCAAUGGCAUAAGCCAGCUUGACUGCGAGCGUGACGGCGCGAGCAGGUGCGAAAGCAGGUCAUAGUGAUCCGGUGGUUCUGAAUGGAAGGGCCAUCGCUCAACGGAUAAAAGGUACUCCGGGGAUAACAGGCUGAUACCGCCCAAGAGUUCAUAUCGACGGCGGUGUUUGGCACCUCGAUGUCGGCUCAUCACAUCCUGGGGCUGAAGUAGGUCCCAAGGGUAUGGCUGUUCGCCAUUUAAAGUGGUACGCGAGCUGGGUUUAGAACGUCGUGAGACAGUUCGGUCCCUAUCUGCCGUGGGCGCUGGAGAACUGAGGGGGGCUGCUCCUAGUACGAGAGGACCGGAGUGGACGCAUCACUGGUGUUCGGGUUGUCAUGCCAAUGGCACUGCCCGGUAGCUAAAUGCGGAAGAGAUAAGUGCUGAAAGCAUCUAAGCACGAAACUU
This 2755-nucleotide ribosomal RNA is filed under the name Escherichia coli 1-176-05_S1_C1. RNAcentral describes it as "bacterial LSU rRNA". It matches the Rfam family "Bacterial large subunit ribosomal RNA". Lineage: Bacteria; Pseudomonadati; Pseudomonadota; Gammaproteobacteria; Enterobacterales; Enterobacteriaceae. The record is from RNAcentral.